UACGUAGGGUGCAAGCGUUGUCCGGAAUUAUUGGGCGUAAAGAGCUCGUAGGCGGUUUGUCGCGUCUGCUGUGAAAAUCCAGGGCUUAACCCUGGACCUGCAGUGGGUACGGGCAGACUAGAGUGCGGUAGGGGAGAUCGGAAUUCCUGGUGUAGCGGUGAAAUGCGUAGAUAUCGGAAGGAACAUCAGUGGCGAAAGCGGCUUCCUGGACCAGUACCGACGUUCAGGCACGAAAGCGUGGGGAGCAAACAGG
This 253-nucleotide ribosomal RNA is filed under the name uncultured bacterium. Its description in RNAcentral is "partial 16S ribosomal RNA". It matches the Rfam family "Bacterial small subunit ribosomal RNA", at positions 524 to 776 of the family's 1533-position model. The record is from RNAcentral.